UACAGAGGGGGCAAGCGUUGUUCGGAAUUACUGGGCGUAAAGGGCGCGUAGGCGGCCUUCUAAGUCGAACGUGAAAUCCCUGGGCUCAACCCAGGAACUGCGUCCGAUACUGGAAGGCUUGAAUCCGGGAGAGGGAUGCGGAAUUCCAGGUGUAGCGGUGAAAUGCGUAGAUAUCUGGAGGAACACCGGUGGCGAAGGCGGCAUCCUGGACCGGUAUUGACGCUGAGGCGCGAAAGCUAGGGUAGCAAACGGG
RNAcentral lists this ribosomal RNA (253 nucleotides) under uncultured bacterium. RNAcentral describes it as "partial 16S ribosomal RNA". It matches the Rfam family "Bacterial small subunit ribosomal RNA", at positions 524 to 776 of the family's 1533-position model. The record is from RNAcentral.